CCUACGGGAGGCAGCAGUGGGGAAUAUUGCACAAUGGGGGAAACCCUGAUGCAGCAACGCCGCGUGAAGGAAGACGGUUUUCGGAUUGUAAACUUCUUUUCUUAGUGAAGAAUAAUGACUGUAGCUAAGAAGCAAGCCACGACUAACUACGUGCCAGCAGCCGCAGUAAUACGUAGGUGGCGAGCGUUGUCCGGAAUUACGUGGUGUAAAGGGAGCGCAGGCGGGCAGCCAAGUCGGCUGUGAAAACAACGGGUCUAAAUUGUACACUGCAGUUGAUACUGGUUUUCUUGAGAGAAGUGGAGGUAGGCGGAAUUCCGAGUGUAGCGGUGAAAUGCGUAGAUAUUCGGAGGAACACCGGUGGCGAAGGCGGCCAACUGGGCUUUAACUGACGCUGAGGCUCGAAAGUGUGGGGAGCAAACAGGAUUAGAUACCCGAGUAGUC
This 441-nucleotide ribosomal RNA is filed under the name uncultured bacterium. Its description in RNAcentral is "partial 16S ribosomal RNA". It matches the Rfam family "Bacterial small subunit ribosomal RNA", at positions 338 to 795 of the family's 1533-position model. The record is from RNAcentral.